CACUCUCCUUCUCACUCUAACGGUUCCCUUUAUCUCUCACGCCUCCACCACCACCUCUCACUCUCAUGGCUCCACUGCCACCGUGAUACCUCCACUGCCACCACGACGCCUUACUCUCCCUCUCCCUUUAUCUCUCACACCUCCACCGCCGCCUCUCACUCACACGGCUCCACCGCCUCCAGCGCCACAGCCGCCGACUCUCACUCUCACUCUCUCAGAUCAGCCGAGACCAAAGACUCAAAGAUCUGUCUUUUCCGCCUUCAGGUUUGACAUAAGGCAUUUCGUGCAAAUAAUGUUGAAAGUGCAAAAUCAAGACUUAGCAUAUGUGCAAAAGAUAUUCGAGAACAAGUAGAAAGAUUGAGAAAUACAUCAGACCUGUGCUCACAGCUUGGAGCAGUUCUGGGUAUGCUUGGUGAUUGCAGCUGAGCUAUACGAGAUGCCGCAUCUGCAGUCAAAUAUUUUGAAGAGAGUGUCAAUUUCCUUUUAAAAGUGCCUAAAGAUGAUUUAGAGAUUGAUAGCACAUACUCUUUGUCUCUCUAAAUAAAAUUGGUGACCUUAAAUACUAUGAUGAAGAUUUGCAAGCUGCAAGUUCAUAUUAUUUUCAAGCAUUGGAUAUUCGCCACAAUGCCAUUAAGCAGCAUUCUCAACCAUCUUAGACCAUAGAUGUGGCUGUAUCACUUGCAAAAGUUGCUGAUGUGGACAGAAAUAUUGGGAAUGAGAAAACUGCAGUAGAUGGAUUCCAAGAAGCCAUAGAAAUGCUGCAAUGUAUGAAACUAAAUCCUUAAGAAGUUGGCCUUGAACAGCGGAGAUUGUCGCAGCUGCUGUUUUAUUUGAGGAACUGCAUACAUUAUACUGUUAACGUAACUCACAAACAGUAGCUAAUAAUUUAAUUUUGAUGAUAGUAUUGUGUUUUGAUGAUAGAAUUUUUUUAAAGUGUGAUGAUUUAAAGUAUUGUGUGGGUAUAAAGUUUGAUAAUAA
Long non-coding RNA from Ipomoea triloba (trilobed morning glory), 978 nucleotides. RefSeq lists it as uncharacterized. The record is from RefSeq and is a predicted model, not a curated record. The transcript has 7 exons. NCBI's taxonomy places the organism in Eukaryota, Viridiplantae, Streptophyta, Magnoliopsida, Solanales, Convolvulaceae.